CCUACGGGUGGCAGCAGUGAGGAAUAUUGGUCAAUGGACGCAAGUCUGAACCAGCCAUGCCGCGUGCAGGAAGACGGCUCUAUGAGUUGUAAACUGCUUUUGUACGAGGGUAAAUCCCGAUACGUGUAUCGGGUUGCAAGUCUCUUACGAAUCAGGAUCGGCUAACUCCGUGCCAGCAGCCGCGGUAAGACGGAGGAUUCAAGCGUUAUCCGGAUUUAUUGGGUUUAAGGGGUGCGUCGGCGGUUCGAUAAGUUAGAGGUGAAAUCCCGGGGCUCACCUCCGGCACUGCCUCUGAUCCUGUCGGGAUAGAGUUUAGUUGCGGUAGGCGGAAUGUAUGGUGUAGCGGUGAAAUGCAUAGAGAUCAUACAGAACACCGAUUGCGAAGGCAGCUUACCAAACUACGACUGACGUUGAGGCACGAAAGCGUGGGGAGCAAACAGGAUUAGAUACCCUAGUAGUC
This 460-nucleotide ribosomal RNA is filed under the name uncultured bacterium. RNAcentral describes it as "partial 16S ribosomal RNA". It matches the Rfam family "Bacterial small subunit ribosomal RNA", at positions 338 to 795 of the family's 1533-position model. The record is from RNAcentral.